GAGUUUGAUCCUGGCUCAGGACGAACGCUGGCGGCGCGCCUAACACAUGCAAGUCGAACGAGCGAGAGAGAGCUUGCUUUCUCAAGCGAGUGGCGAACGGGUGAGUAACGCGUGAGGAACCUGCCUCAAAGAGGGGGACAACAGUUGGAAACGACUGCUAAUACCGCAUAAGCCCACAGCUCGGCAUCGAGCAGAGGGAAAAGGAGCAAUCCGCUUUGAGAUGGCCUCGCGUCCGAUUAGCUAGUUGGUGAGGUAAUGGCCCACCAAGGCGACGAUCGGUAGCCGGACUGAGAGGUUGAACGGCCACAUUGGGACUGAGACACGGCCCAGACUCCUACGGGAGGCAGCAGUGGGGAAUAUUGCACAAUGGGGGAAACCCUGAUGCAGCGACGCCGCGUGGAGGAAGAAGGUCUUCGGAUUGUAAACUCCUGUUGUUGAGGAAGAUAAUGACGGUACUCAACAAGGAAGUGACGGCUAACUACGUGCCAGCAGCCGCGGUAAAACGUAGGUCACAAGCGUUGUCCGGAAUUACUGGGUGUAAAGGGAGCGCAGGCGGGAAGACAAGUUGGAAGUGAAAUCUAUGGGCUCAACCCAUAAACUGCUUUCAAAACUGUUUUUCUUGAGUAGUGCAGAGGUAGGCGGAAUUCCCGGUGUAGCGGUGGAAUGCGUAGAUAUCGGGAGGAACACCAGUGGCGAAGGCGGCCUACUGGGCACCAACUGACGCUGAGGCUCGAAAGUGUGGGUAGCAAACAGGAUUAGAUACCCUGGUAGUCCACACCGUAAACGAUGAUUACUAGGUGUUGGAGGAUUGACCCCUUCAGUGCCGCAGUUAACACAAUAAGUAAUCCACCUGGGGAGUACGACCGCAAGGUUGAAACUCAAAGGAAUUGACGGGGGCCCGCACAAGCAGUGGAGUAUGUGGUUUAAUUCGACGCAACGCGAAGAACCUUACCAAGUCUUGACAUCCUGCGACGCACAUAGAAAUAUGUGUUUCCUUCGGGACGCAGAGACAGGUGGUGCAUGGUUGUCGUCAGCUCGUGUCGUGAGAUGUUGGGUUAAGUCCCGCAACGAGCGCAACCCUUACUGUCAGUUACUACGCAAGAGGACUCUGGCAGGACUGCCGUUGACAAAACGGAGGAAGGUGGGGAUGACGUCAAAUCAUCAUGCCCUUUAUGACUUGGGCUACACACGUACUACAAUGGCGUUAAACAAAGAGAAGCAAGACCGCGAGGUGGAGCAAAACUCAGAAACAACGUCCCAGUUCGGACUGCAGGCUGCAACUCGCCUGCACGAAGUCGGAAUUGCUAGUAAUCGUGGAUCAGCAUGCCACGGUGAAUACGUUCCCGGGCCUUGACACACCGCCCGUC
Molecule: ribosomal RNA, 1367 nt
Filed under: uncultured bacterium
Lineage: Bacteria
Description: bacterial SSU rRNA
Rfam family: Bacterial small subunit ribosomal RNA
Source: RNAcentral